AAUCAACGCUGGCGGCGUGCCUAACACAUGCAAGUCGAACGCGAAAGUUCCGCAAGGGAUAAGUAGAGUGGCAAACGGGUGAGUAACACGUGGGUGACCUGCCUUCGAGUGGGGGAUAACGUCCCGAAAGGGACGCUAAUACCGCAUGACAUCCUGCCUUUGAAGAGGUGGAGAUCAAAGCUGGGGAUCGCAAGACCUAGCGCUUGAAGAGGGGCCCGCGCCUGAUAGCUAGUUGGUGAGGUAACGGCUCACCAAGGCUCCGAUCGGUAUCCGGCCUGAGAGGGCGGACGGACACACUGGAACUGAGACACGGUCCAGACUCCUACGGGAGGCAGCAGUGGGGAAUUGUUCGCAAUGGGCGCAAGCCUGACGACGCAACGCCGCGUGGAGGAUGAAGACUUUC
Molecule: ribosomal RNA, 403 nt
Filed under: uncultured bacterium
Lineage: Bacteria
Description: bacterial SSU rRNA
Rfam family: Bacterial small subunit ribosomal RNA
Source: RNAcentral